This 253-nucleotide ribosomal RNA is filed under the name uncultured bacterium. RNAcentral's name for it is "partial 16S ribosomal RNA". It matches the Rfam family "Bacterial small subunit ribosomal RNA", at positions 524 to 776 of the family's 1533-position model. The record is from RNAcentral.
UACGAAGGGGGCUAGCGUUGCUCGGAAUCACUGGGCGUAAAGCGCACGUAGGCGGCUUUCUAAGUCAGGGGUGAAAUCCUGGAGCUCAACUCCAGAACUGCCUUUGAUACUGGAGAGCUCGAGUCCGGAAGAGGUGAGUGGAACUCCGAGUGUAGAGGUGAAAUUCGUAGAUAUUCGGAAGAACACCAGUGGCGAAGGCGGCUCACUGGUCCGGUACUGACGCUGAGGCGCGAAAGCGUGGGGAGCAAACAGG